GUAACACAUUUUAAACAGUAUUUAUUUAUUUUAUUUUUUUUAAUCAAACUUAACUAUAAGAUAUAAUCACCGGUGAUGUGCUCUGUGGUUGGGGCUAAGUUAACAGCACCUGGUGGUGAACAGUGUUGCUAGAUUGGCUGACAAAAAGCCCAAUCGGAGCCUAAUAACCCGCCCAAUCGCGGUCAAAGUAGCCCACUGAUUUACGAGUAGUUAAUUUGCAAAAAUUAACUACGACGAAUUAGCUACCUGCAGUAACCGUUUGCUGUGUAGCAUUGGCUGUUUUGGCAGCUAUUGAUGAAUAACUUUGACACUGAAGUAAACUCAAAAAAGUGAUGACUCUCAGGCAAGUUAUGGAGCUAUACGGAGCGUCUUUUUUUUCUAAGCGGAUUUGUGGACAUUAAUCUACGAUGGACGUCGCAGACAAUGAUAUCCUCUGAAAGUACUUGAGGCGCCCUCUUACCUUUCAUGCCCACAGCUUUGCUGGACAGACAGAGCUGCCCAGGUGGACACUUCAGAGGAAAUCUGAUGCAGUCAAGAGAAACCAGCUGUCUUCAUCUCGGAAUACAAGAAAACUGCUGAAGUCUCGUCUUUAUCAGGCAGUUUCCAAGCAGCUUUAUUCAGUCUUUCUUGGCUUCCUCAUCCGGCCUAGCUGCAGAGAUCUGAAGCUCUACUUAACAUAAGACAGGGAGAGUUGGCUUCUGGAUGCCCCCUGCUGGAGUAAGGAAGGCACGGCUCGCUUGUUGACCUGCUGGAGCCUCAUGCGGACGACACCUGCGUCCACCUGAGCUGCUGCUCUCUUGCUGUGCAGGUCGUCCAGUAGCUGCAGACAGGCGUGCUGCAGCCUUGCCAGCUCACUCUCAGAGGACUUUAGAUAUUGCCUCAGCACUGCACUGCCCUGAGAUACACACAGGAAACACAUUUGGCCUGAUUUCUGAUAGUGUUAAA
Xiphias gladius (swordfish) is the source of this 945-nucleotide long non-coding RNA. RefSeq lists it as uncharacterized. The transcript has 4 exons. Lineage: Eukaryota; Metazoa; Chordata; Actinopteri; Istiophoriformes; Xiphiidae. The record is from RefSeq and is a predicted model, not a curated record.